This 253-nucleotide ribosomal RNA is filed under the name uncultured bacterium. Its description in RNAcentral is "partial 16S ribosomal RNA". It matches the Rfam family "Bacterial small subunit ribosomal RNA", at positions 524 to 776 of the family's 1533-position model. The record is from RNAcentral.
UACGGAGGGUGCGAGCGUUGUCCGGAAUCAUUGGGCGUAAAGGGCGCGUAGGUGGCCUGCUAAGCGUGCGGUGAAAGCUCGGGGCUCAACCCUGAGUCGGCCGUGCGAACUGGUGGGCUUGAGCACUGUAGAGGCAGGCGGAAUUCCGGGUGUAGCGGUGGAAUGCGUAGAGAUCCGGAAGAACACCAGUGGCGAAGGCGGCCUGCUGGGCAGUAGCUGACACUGAGGCGCGACAGCGUGGGGAGCAAACAGG